GUCCACACCGUAAACGAUGGAUACUAGGUGUCCGGCCUUUCGGGGCUGGGUGCCCAAGGGAAACCGAUAAGUAUCCCACCUGGGGAGUACGUCCGCAAGGAUGAAACUCAAAGGAAUUGACGGGGGCCCGCACAAGCGGUGGAGCAUGUGGUUUAAUUCGAUGAUACGCGAGGAACCUUACCUGGGCUAGAAUGCCCUCGACCGGCCGUGAAAGCGGUCUUCCCAGCAAUGGGCGAGGUGCAAGGUGCUGCAUGGUUGUCGU
This 262-nucleotide ribosomal RNA is filed under the name uncultured bacterium. Its description in RNAcentral is "partial 16S ribosomal RNA". It matches the Rfam family "Bacterial small subunit ribosomal RNA", at positions 793 to 1055 of the family's 1533-position model. The record is from RNAcentral.